CGUCCUCAAACACCCAACUUCUAUAUGUUGACUCCGCUCUGGUCUCAAACCCGA
RNAcentral lists this ribosomal RNA (54 nucleotides) under Trichoderma harzianum. RNAcentral describes it as "partial 28S ribosomal RNA". The record is from RNAcentral. Lineage: Eukaryota; Fungi; Ascomycota; Sordariomycetes; Hypocreales; Hypocreaceae.